AGAGUUUGAUUAUGGCUCAGGACGAACGCUGGCGGCGUGCCUAAUACAUGCAAGUCGAACGAACUCUGGUAUUGAUUGGUGCUUGCAUCAUGAUUUACAUUUGAGUGAGUGGCGAACUGGUGAGUAACACGUGGGAAACCUGCCCAGAAGCGGGGGAUAACACCUGGAAACAGAUGCUAAUACCGCAUAACAACUUGGACCGCAUGGUCCGAGUUUGAAAGAUGGCUUCGGCUAUCACUUUUGGAUGGUCCCGCGGCGUAUUAGCUAGAUGGUGGGGUAACGGCUCACCAUGGCAAUGAUACGUAGCCGACCUGAGAGGGUAAUCGGCCACAUUGGGACUGAGACACGGCCCAAACUCCUACGGGAGGCAGCAGUAGGGAAUCUUCCACAAUGGACGAAAGUCUGAUGGAGCAACGCCGCGUGAGUGAAGAAGGGUUUCGGCUCGUAAAACUCUGUUGUUAAAGAAGAACAUAUCUGAGAGUAACUGUUCAGGUAUUGACGGUAUUUAACCAGAAAGCCACGGCUAACUACGUGCCAGCAGCCGCGGUAAUACGUAGGUGGCAAGCGUUGUCCGGAUUUAUUGGGCGUAAAGCGAGCGCAGGCGGUUUUUUAAGUCUGAUGUGAAAGCCUUCGGCUCAACCGAAGAAGUGCAUCGGAAACUGGGAAACUUGAGUGCAGAAGAGGACAGUGGAACUCCAUGUGUAGCGGUGAAAUGCGUAGAUAUAUGGAAGAACACCAGUGGCGAAGGCGGCUGUCUGGUCUGUAACUGACGCUGAGGCUCGAAAGUAUGGGUAGCAAACAGGAUUAGAUACCCUGGUAGUCCAUACCGUAAACGAUGAAUGCUAAGUGUUGGAGGGUUUCCGCCCUUCAGUGCUGCAGCUAACGCAUUAAGCAUUCCGCCUGGGGAGUACGGCCGCAAGGCUGAAACUCAAAUGAAUGACGG
This 943-nucleotide ribosomal RNA is filed under the name uncultured Lactobacillus sp. RNAcentral describes it as "bacterial SSU rRNA". It matches the Rfam family "Bacterial small subunit ribosomal RNA", at positions 8 to 916 of the family's 1533-position model. Lineage: Bacteria; Bacillati; Bacillota; Bacilli; Lactobacillales; Lactobacillaceae. The record is from RNAcentral.